GUUUUAAUAGUUUAAGAAAAACAUUAGUCUUGUAAACUAAAAAUAAUUUUUUUUUAAAACU
This 61-nucleotide transfer RNA is filed under the name Staphylinoidea sp. 15 KM-2017. RNAcentral's name for it is "tRNA-Thr". It matches the Rfam family "tRNA". Rfam says of the family: Transfer RNA (tRNA) molecules are approximately 80 nucleotides in length. Their secondary structure includes four short double-helical elements and three loops (D, anti-codon, and T loops). Lineage: Eukaryota; Metazoa; Arthropoda; Insecta; Coleoptera. The record is from RNAcentral.